AGAAAUGCAGUUGUCAGCCCUUCAGUGUCACAAUUUGCAGCAACAGGAGGAGCAGAAAUCUGGAAAUCAGCCCAAUUUGGCAGUGUCUGUACAGGACACCCUAAAGUGGACACUUCCCUGCACCAACCCCACCGUGGCAAGAGUUCCUCACUGAGCCAGAACAGAGCAAACCCAUGUUUUAAAUUCUGAGAAUCUUAGUCAAGUGGAAUUCUUGUUCUGCAAACAGCUCUGAGGAAGAAUCUGGAAAUAUGAAUAUCAUUUGGAGAGGAAGAUGGGAUACAGCUCUUAAGCCUCCUGCAACAGGAGCCCUCGUAGGAGCUGUGUUAUCAGACCUCCAUCUCCCCACCUUAAGACCUCUCAACAGCUCACAGG
Molecule: long non-coding RNA, 372 nt
Organism: Melospiza melodia melodia
Lineage: Eukaryota; Metazoa; Chordata; Aves; Passeriformes; Passerellidae
Exons: 4
Source: RefSeq, a predicted model, not a curated record